UUCCGUAGGUGAACUGCGGAAGGAUCAUUACCGAGUGCGGGUCCUUUGGGCCCAACCUCCCAUCCGUGUCUAUUAUACCCUGUUGCUUCGGCGGGCCCGCCGCUUGUCGGCCGCCGGGGGGGCGCCUUUGCCCCCCGGGCCCGUGCCCGCCGGAGACCCCAACACGAACACUGUCUGAAAGCGUGCAGUCUGAGUUGAUUGAAUGCAAUCAGUUAAAACUUUCAACAAUGGAUCUCUUGGUUCCGGCAUCGAUGAAGAACGCAGCGAAAUGCGAUAACUAAUGUGAAUUGCAGAAUUCAGUGAAUCAUCGAGUCUUUGAACGCACAUUGCGCCCCCUGGUAUUCCGGGGGGCAUGCCUGUCCGAGCGUCAUUGCUGCCCUCAAGCCCGGCUUGUGUGUUGGGUCGCCGUCCCCCUCUCCGGGGGGACGGGCCCGAAAGGCAGCGGCGGCACCGCGUCCGAUCCUCGAGCGUAUGGGGCUUUGUCACAUGCUCUGUAGGAUUGGCCGGCGCCUGCCGACGUUUUCCAACCGUUUUUCCAGGUUGACCUCGGAUCAGGUAGGGAUACCCGCUGAACUUAAGCAUAUCAAUAAGCGGAGGAA
This 599-nucleotide ribosomal RNA is filed under the name Aspergillus tubingensis. RNAcentral describes it as "eukaryotic LSU rRNA". The stretch from base 217 to 370 matches the Rfam family "5.8S ribosomal RNA". Lineage: Eukaryota; Fungi; Ascomycota; Eurotiomycetes; Eurotiales; Aspergillaceae. The record is from RNAcentral.